UUGGUAUGGUAACGGCAUACCAAGGCUAUGAUGGGUAGGGGUCCUGAGAGGGAGAUCCCCCACACUGGUACUGAGACACGGACCAGACUCCUACGGGAGGCAGCAGUGAGGAAUAUUGGUCAAUGGUCGCGAGACUGAACCAGCCAUGCCGCGUGCAGGAAGACGGUCCUAUGGAUUGUAAACUGCUUUUAUACAGGAAGAAACCCUCUCACGUGUGGGAGCUUGACGGUACUGUAUGAAUAAGCAUCGGCUAACUCCGUGCCAGCAGCCGCGGUAAUACGGAGGAUGCGAGCGUUAUCCGGAAUCAUUGGGUUUAAAGGGUCCGUAGGCGGUUUAAUAAGUCAGUGGUGAAAUCUGGUCGCUCAACGAUCAAACUGCCAUUGAUACUGUUAGACUUGAAUAAUUGUGAAGUAACUAGAAUAUGUAGUGUAGCGGUGAAAUGCUUAGAUAUUACAUGGAAUACCAAUUGCGAAGGCAGGUUACUAACAAUUUAUUGACGCUGAUGGACGAAAGCGUGGGGAGCGAACAGGAUUAGAUACCCUGGUAGUCCACGCCGUAAACGAUGGAUACUAGCUGUUCGGCGCAAGUUGAGUGGCUAAGCGAAAGUGAUAAGUAUCCCACCUGGGGAGUACGCACGCAAGUG
Molecule: ribosomal RNA, 643 nt
Filed under: uncultured Sporocytophaga sp.
Lineage: Bacteria; Pseudomonadati; Bacteroidota; Cytophagia; Cytophagales; Cytophagaceae
Description: SSU rRNA
Rfam family: Bacterial small subunit ribosomal RNA
Source: RNAcentral